GCUGGUUGGGCAGAGAAGGCUCUAAUCCCAUAGAAAGGAUCAGAUCAGGACUAGGAGCAGACCCAAACCCCCUCUCUGGACAGAAGAUCAGGAGGAGUAGGAUAAAUGCUCUCAACCCCUCCCAGUCUCUUUAUAGAGCCGCUCGGAGGACAGGAGGAAGCUUACAGAAGAGAUGGAACUAGUACCUUUGUGCUCAGAGGAUCGAAAGGGGGAUGACAAUUUUUUGAGAGAAUUCCAGGUUUUCUUUUGUUGCUGAAUUUGUCUCAUAUCUGAGGAUUAG
Molecule: non-coding RNA, 280 nt
Organism: Pelobates cultripes (western spadefoot toad)
Lineage: Eukaryota; Metazoa; Chordata; Amphibia; Anura; Pelobatidae
Source: the annotation of a GenBank genome assembly